GGAGGAGUCAGAUAGCGGUCCAUUCUGCCUGCUUGGAAAGCAGGUGUGCGCAAGCACACGUGGGUUCGAAUCCCACCUCCUCCGCCC
RNAcentral lists this transfer RNA (87 nucleotides) under Candidatus Chazhemtobacterium aquaticus. RNAcentral's name for it is "tRNA-Ser". It matches the Rfam family "tRNA". From Rfam's summary of the family: Transfer RNA (tRNA) molecules are approximately 80 nucleotides in length. Their secondary structure includes four short double-helical elements and three loops (D, anti-codon, and T loops). The record is from RNAcentral. Lineage: Bacteria; Candidatus Chazhemtobacteraceae.